AGGCUUUGAUCCUGGCUCAGGAUGACGCUAGCGGCAGGCCUAAUACAUGCAAGUCGGACGGUAUAGAUUCUUUCGGGGAUCUAGGGAAACCCGGAUUAAUACCGCAUGGUACCAUUAGAGGGCAUCUGAAAAUGGUUAAAGAUUUAUCGGUAUAAGAUGGGCAUGCGUAGGAUUAGCUAGUUGGCGGGGUAACGGCCCACCAAGGCGACGAUCCUUAGGGGUUCUGAGAGGAAGGUCCCCCACACUGGCACUGAGAUACGGGCCAGACUCCUACGGGAGGCAGCAGUAGGGAAUAUUGGGCAAUGGUCGGAAGACUGACCCAGCCAUGCCGCGUGCAGGAAGAAGGCGUUAUGCGUUGUAAACUGCUUUUAUACGGGAAGAAAAAGCAACUGCGGUGUAAAUGCCGGUUACCGUUAGUAAUGCCACCGGGGCGUAAAUCGCGAU
RNAcentral lists this ribosomal RNA (444 nucleotides) under uncultured Aquiflexum sp. Its description in RNAcentral is "bacterial SSU rRNA". It matches the Rfam family "Bacterial small subunit ribosomal RNA", at positions 8 to 518 of the family's 1533-position model. The record is from RNAcentral. Lineage: Bacteria; Pseudomonadati; Bacteroidota; Cytophagia; Cytophagales; Cyclobacteriaceae.